Molecule: ribosomal RNA, 1941 nt
Filed under: human gut metagenome
Description: bacterial LSU rRNA
Rfam family: Bacterial large subunit ribosomal RNA
Source: RNAcentral
UUAAGCUAUAAAGAGCAUAGGGUGGAUGCCUAGGCACUGAGAGCCGACGAAGGACGUGACAAGCUGCGAUAAGCUACGGGGAGGAGCAAAUAUCCAUUGAGCCGUAGAUUUCCGAAUGGGGGAACCCACUUAAGAAGACCUUAAGUAUUCAUACGCCAAUCCAUAACGUAUGAAAGGGAACCCGGGGAACUGAAACAUCUAAGUACCCGGAGGAAGAGAAAGAAACAUCGAUUUCCUAAGUAGCGGCGAGCGAAAGGGAAAGAGCCCAAACCGAGGAAUUUAUUCUUCGGGGUUAGGACUGCAUAAUUGAUUUGGAAUUGAUAGGAGAAUGGUCUGGGAAGUCCAGCGAAAGAGCGUGAAAGCCGCGUAUCCGAAAUUAAGACCAACAUGGCAGAAUCCAGAGUACCACGAGACACGAGAAACCUUGUGGGAAUGAGCGGAGACCACUCCGUAAGGCUAAAUACUACUCAGUGACCGAUAGCGCAUAGUACUGUGAAGGAAAGGUGAAAAGGACCCCGGGAGGGGAGUGAAAGAGAACCUGAAACCCUGUGUUUACAAGCUGUCGAAGCACGCAAGUGCGACGGCGUACUUUUUGUAGAACGGUCCGGCGAGUUAUGAUGAGUGGUAAGGUUAAGGACUUAAGGUCCGGAGCCGAAGCGAAAGCGAGUGUUAAAAGCACGGUUGAAUCGCUUAUCAUAGACCCGAAACCGGGUGAUCUAUCCAUGUCCAGGUUGAAGCUGCCGUAAGAGGUAGUGGAGGACCGAACACACAUCCGUUGAAAAGGGUGGUGAUGAGGUGUGGAUAGGGGAGAAAUUCCAAUCGAACCCGGAGAUAGCUGGUUCUCCUCGAAAUAGCUUUAGGGCUAGCCUCUGGUUAGUCUGCCGCAGGUAGAGCACUGAAUUUCCUAGGGGGCGUCAAAGCCUACCGAAGAAUAUCAAACUGCGAAUGGCGGACAGAUGAUGCCAGGGAGUCAGACUGCACGAGAUAAGUUGGGUGGUCAAAAGGGAAAGAGCCCAGACCUACAGCUAAGGUCCCAAAGUGUGUGUUAAGUGGAAAAGGAUGUGGGAUUUCGAAGACAACUAGGAUGUUGGCUCAGAAGCAGCCACACAUUAAAAGAGUGCGUAAUAGCUCACUAGUCGAGAGGUCCUGCGCCGAAAAUGUCCGGGGCUAAAACACAACACCGAAGCUUAGGAAUUCUAAUGAAUUGGUAGAGGAGCAUUGAAGACGGAACGAAGCCAUACCGUAAGGAAUGGUGGACUGUCUUGAAGAGAGAAUGCCGGAAUGAGUAGCGAGAUUGAAGUGAGAAUCUUCAAGGCCGAAUAUCUAAGGUUUCCAGGGUAAAGCUGAUCUGCCCUGGGUAAGUCGGGGCCUAAGGCAAGGUCGAAAGACGUAGUCGAUGGAUAACAGGUUGAAAUUCCUGUACUGCAUCAAAUCAGAAAUGUGGGGACACAUGAGGGAAGCAUGAGCCGGAAAAGGAAAGUCCGGUACAAGCGCAGCAGAGGACAGAUAGGCAAAUCCGUCUGUCAACUCGAGGGCGCGAUGUGGAGCGAACCAAAGUAGCGAAGCAUGUGGAGCUUGUGUCGAGAAAAGCCGCUAUAGUGUUUGAUGUACCCGUACCGUAAACCGACACAGGUGGAUGAGGAGAGAAUCCUAAGGCCGGCGGGAGAAGCAUUGUUAAGGAACUCGGCAAAAUGACCCCGUAACUUCGGGAGAAGGGGUGCUCCAGAGAUGGAGCCGCAGAGAACUGGCCCAAGCAACUGUUUAGCAAAAACACAGGUCUAUGCAAAACCGAAAGGUGAGGUAUAUGGGCUGACGCCUGCCCGGUGCUGGAAGGUUAAGAGGAGAGGUUAGAGCAAUCGAAGCCUUGAAUUUAAGCCCCAGUAAACGGCGGCCGUAACUAUAACGGUCCUAAGGUAGCGAAAUUCCUUGUCGGGUAAGUUC